AACGAACGCUGGCGGCAGGCCUAACACAUGCAAGUCGAGCGCGCCCUUCGGGGUGAGCGGCGGACGGGUGAGUAACGCGUGGGAACGUGCCCUUCUCUGCGGAAUAGCCUCGGGAAACUGAGAGUAAUACCGCAUACGCCCUUUGGGGGAAAGAUUUAUCGGAGAAGGAUCGGCCCGCGUUGGAUUAGGUAGUUGGCGGGGUAAUGGCCCACCAAGCCGACGAUCCAUAGCUGGUUUGAGAGGAUGAUCAGCCACACUGGGACUGAGACACGGCCCAGACUCCUACGGGAGGCAGCAGUGGGGAAUCUUAGACAAUGGGGGCAACCCUGAUCUAGCCAUGCCGCGUGAGUGAUGAAGGCCUUAGGGUUGUAAAGCUCUUUAAGCUGGGAAGAUAAUGACGGUACCAGCAGAAGAAGCCCCGGCUAACUCCGUG
This 433-nucleotide ribosomal RNA is filed under the name uncultured bacterium. RNAcentral's name for it is "partial 16S ribosomal RNA". It matches the Rfam family "Bacterial small subunit ribosomal RNA", at positions 29 to 507 of the family's 1533-position model. The record is from RNAcentral.